AGCAGUAGCCGCGGUAAUACAGAGGGUGCGAGCGUUAAUCGGAUUUACUGGGCGUAAAGCGUGCGUAGGCGGCUUCUUAAGUCGGAUGUGAAAUCCCUGAGCUUAACUUAGGAAUUGCAUUCGAUACUGGGAAGCUAGAGUAUGGGAGAGGAUGGUAGAAUUCAAGGUGUAGCGGUGAAAUGCGUAGAGAUCUGGAGGAAUACCGAUGGCGAAGGCAGCCAUCUGGCCUAAUACUGACGCUGAGGUACGAAAGCAUGGGGAGCAAACAGGAUUAGAUACCCCUGUAGUCCCUGUCUCUUAUAC
Molecule: ribosomal RNA, 303 nt
Filed under: uncultured bacterium
Lineage: Bacteria
Description: partial 16S ribosomal RNA
Rfam family: Bacterial small subunit ribosomal RNA
Source: RNAcentral